This 448-nucleotide ribosomal RNA is filed under the name uncultured bacterium. RNAcentral describes it as "bacterial SSU rRNA". It matches the Rfam family "Bacterial small subunit ribosomal RNA", at positions 329 to 792 of the family's 1533-position model. The record is from RNAcentral.
UUCCAGACUCCUACGGGAGGCAGCAGUGGGGGAUAUUGCACAAUGGGGGAAACCCUGAUGCAGCGACGCCGCGUGGGCGAAGAAGUAUUUCGGUAUGUAAAGCCCUAUCAGCAGGGAAGAAGAAAUGACGGUACCUGAGUAAGAAGCACCGGCUAAAUACGUGCCAGCAGCCGCGGUAAUACGUAUGGUGCAAGCGUUAUCCGGAUUUACUGGGUGUAAAGGGAGCGCAGGCGGCACGGCAAGCCUGAUGUGAAAGCCCGCGGCCCAACCGCGGGACUGCUUUGGAAACUUUUUUGCUGGAGUACCGGAGAGGUAAGCGGAAUUCCUAGUGUAGCGGUGAAAUGCGUAGAUAUUAGGAGGAACACCAGUGGCGAAGGCGGCUUACUGGACGGUAACUGACGUUGAGGCUCGAAAGCGUGGGGAGCAAACAGGAUUAGAUACCCCAGUA